GGAGGAGUCGCAUAGUCCGGUCUAGUGCGGCCGCCUGCUAAGCGGUUGCCCGGGCCUUAAACCUGGGCCGCGAGUUCGAAUCUCGCCUCCUCCG
This 94-nucleotide transfer RNA is filed under the name Chloroflexota bacterium. RNAcentral's name for it is "tRNA-Ser". It matches the Rfam family "tRNA". Rfam says of the family: Transfer RNA (tRNA) molecules are approximately 80 nucleotides in length. Their secondary structure includes four short double-helical elements and three loops (D, anti-codon, and T loops). Further hydrogen bonds mediate the characteristic L-shaped molecular structure. tRNAs have two regions of fundamental functional importance: the anti-codon, which is responsible for specific mRNA codon recognition, and the 3' end, to which the tRNAs corresponding amino acid is attached (by aminoacyl-tRNA synthetases). tRNAs cope with the degeneracy of the genetic code in two manners: having more than one tRNA (with a specific anti-codon) for a particular amino acid; and 'wobble' base-pairing, i.e. permitting non-standard base-pairing at the 3rd anti-codon position. The record is from RNAcentral. Lineage: Bacteria; Bacillati; Chloroflexota.